CCAAAUGCAGUGACAAGGAGGAGUACAUACUCACCCGGAUUUCAGAGAGAAGAUGGUUGGUGGAAGUCUUCAUUUAGGAAGUAUGGAAGUAGCCUUUGAGCAGUGGACCGAAAGAGAAGACAAGUGAUUCUUUAGUAGGCUUCAACGGAAGUUUCCGCCGUUACACGGAAAACGGUAUCGAUAUCUUUGCAUAAUUAUGCCAAAGGCUCCGUAUCGGAAUGAGUGCAGAGAUUUCUCUCUGAAUUUAGGUGGUAACACGGAUAAUUAUUCGCCCUAAGC
This 279-nucleotide non-coding RNA is filed under the name Anaerocolumna xylanovorans. Its description in RNAcentral is "T-box sequence". It matches the Rfam family "T-box leader". From Rfam's summary of the family: Uncharged tRNA acts as the effector for transcription antitermination of genes in the T-box leader family. T-boxes are found upstream of many aminoacyl-tRNA synthetase genes and some amino acid biosynthetic genes usually in Gram-positive bacteria. The anticodon of a specific tRNA base pairs to a specifier sequence within the T-box motif, and the NCCA acceptor tail of the tRNA base pairs to a conserved bulge in the T-box antiterminator hairpin. Lineage: Bacteria; Bacillati; Bacillota; Clostridia; Lachnospirales; Lachnospiraceae. The record is from RNAcentral.